RNAcentral lists this transfer RNA (73 nucleotides) under Cordylochernes scorpioides. RNAcentral describes it as "tRNA-Phe". Lineage: Eukaryota; Metazoa; Arthropoda; Arachnida; Pseudoscorpiones; Chernetidae. The record is from RNAcentral.
AGAGAAAUAGCUCAGUUGGGAAAUCAUUUUACUGAAGAUCUACAGGCCCCAGGUUCGAAUCCAGGUUUCUGCA